Molecule: ribosomal RNA, 253 nt
Filed under: uncultured bacterium
Lineage: Bacteria
Description: partial 16S ribosomal RNA
Rfam family: Bacterial small subunit ribosomal RNA
Source: RNAcentral
UACGUAGGGCGCAAGCGUUGUCCGGAAUUAUUGGGCGUAAAGAGCUCGUAGGUGGCUUGUCACGUCGGGUGUGAAAGCUUGGGGCUUAACUCCAGGUCUGCAUUCGAUACGGGCUGGCUAGAGGUAGGUAGGGGAGAACGGAAUUCCUGGUGUAGCGGUGGAAUGCGCAGAUAUCAGGAGGAACACCAAUAGCGAAGGCAGCUCGCUGGGACGUUACUGACACUGAGGCGCGAAAGCGUGGGGAGCGAACAGG